GCCAGGUGUGGUGACUCAUACCUGUAAUCCCAGUACUUUGGGAGGCUGAGGCAGGAGGAUUGCUUGAGCCCAGGAAUUUGAGACCAGUCUGGGCAACAUAGCAAGACUCCAUCUCUAUUUACAAAAUUUUUUUAAAUUAUAAAAAUUUUAAAAAUUGUGGCCGGGCUCAGUGGCUCCUGCCACUUUGGGAGGCUGAGGUGGGUGGGUCACUUGAGGCCAGGAGUUCAAGACCAGCCUGGACAACAUGGUGAAAACCUGUCUCU
This is an unclassified non-coding RNA of Pan troglodytes (chimpanzee), 263 nucleotides long. It matches the Rfam family "Metazoan signal recognition particle RNA". From Rfam's summary of the family: The signal recognition particle (SRP) is a universally conserved ribonucleoprotein. It is involved in the co-translational targeting of proteins to membranes. The eukaryotic SRP consists of a 300-nucleotide 7S RNA and six proteins: SRPs 72, 68, 54, 19, 14, and 9. The record is from Ensembl. Lineage: Eukaryota; Metazoa; Chordata; Mammalia; Primates; Hominidae.